CAAAGAAUCAAAAUACAUUGCCAUGCAGUUUGGAAAGAAGAUUAGAAUGUGUGUAUAUGAGUGUACCAUUGGACUAAAUGCCACCAAAAUUUUUAAAAUACGGUGACCGCCACUUGGGUCGUUUGCUCAGCACUUCCCGGCACGUGCAGACUGCGCACCGAUGACACGACACCACCUCGGCUUGCCUUGGCAAUCACGGCGCCAAAUCCAGACCAGACUUUCGCGCACAUCUGGCAACGGCGAUUGGGGACUACAACGGACACCACCGGAAGAGGACUUAAAAGCCAGCCAGCAAGCGUCCACUUCGGGCACGGCACCGCAUCGAGUAUGCAGCGUACUCAGCUACUGCUAUUGCAGGUGACCGCCACUUGGGUCGUUUGCUCAGCACUUCCCGGCACGUGCAGACUGCGCACCGAUGACACGACACCACCUCGGCUUGCCUUGGCAAUCACGGCGCCAAAUCCAGACCAGACUUUCGCGCACAUCUGGCAACGGCGAUUGGGGACUACAACGGACACCACCGGAAGAGGACUUAAAAGCCAGCCAGCAAGCGUCCACUUCGGGCACGGCACCGCAUCGAGUAUGCAGCGUACUCAGCUACUGCUAUUGCAGGUUAGUUACGUACGGUGUGCUUCAUGCAUUAAGAGUAACAACUGCUGUUUCAUCGCGGUGUCGUGCCCACUUGAGUGGAUUGAUGUCUUAAAGCGUUCUAAUUUACUCCUGUGUUCGCUCUACUCUGCAGUGUUUGAGUUGCUCCUCUUGCUUUCUGGCGACGUUGAGACGAACCCAGGUCCAAUGUCAAAAGCUGAGGCAGAUGCGUUUGCCUCGGCUCUUGAGUCGAUAAAGAAACUAGAGGCCGCACAAGAGGCGCUCUUGGCGGAAUUAAAAAGCGCAAAGGACAAACAAGCUGCCACCGAUAAUGAACUCAUCAUUCUAACUGCCAAGGUUGCGGCGAUUGAGUUGGCCACUUCCUCAGAAAGCGCUGCAAACUCGAGCGUGAAGGAAAAAGGAAGCAGAACUUUACGUGAUGUCUCAGAUCAGCUGCAAACAAUAACUUCAAGAUGUGAGGAUGCAGAAAACAGGCUCAGACGAAGUAAUUUGCUGUUUUUCGGAAUAGAAGAUGACCCUAAAGAGGACAGGGCUACCCCUGAAAAGAAAGUCAUAAAAUUCUGCUCUGAUAAACUGCAAACUGCAACAAUCAGUUCACAAUUCGAACGCGUACAUAGGCUUGGGAAAUAUCAAGAAGGAAAGAACAGGCCCAUAAUAGCUAAACUAACUUUUUUUAAAGACAAGCAACGCAUCUUGUCAUCCGCGCACAAAUUAAAAGGCUUAAAGUAUUCAAUCGGUGAAGAUUUCUCGCCAGCUACGCGACAAGCUAGAAGGAAGCUGCUUGACUUCGCCAAACCUCAAAAAGUUCCUUUUAAACUGUCAGUAGAUCGGCUGCUUAUAAGUAACCAGACUUACACGUACGACAAAAACACCGAUACCAUUGUCAUGUCACAAAGAUAGCUAGACAUAAGCACUUUCCCACGGGCUCUUCCACAGUCAAAACUACCUAUCAAUGGGUCUUCGUUGACACUAUCUUACGCAAACAUACGGAGCAUCAUGCCCAAGCGCGAAUUAGUUUGCUCUCUGCUUGACGAUAACGAAUCUAAUAUUGUUGUUCUUACCGAAACAUGGCUAAAUCCUGACAUUACAGACGACGAAAUUCUUCCUGAUAACCAUUCUUAUAAUAUUUAUCGCAAAGAUCGAACUAGCAAGAGAGGCGGGGGCGUUCUUCUUGGUGUUAAAAAAUCAUUAUCUUCACUUAUUAUCGACUCGAACUCACCUCUUGAGAUUGUGUGGGUUGAAGUAAUAAUAAAUACGACCAAACUACUGGUAGGUGCCUGUUACCGUCCACCUGACUACAGCACUUCUUUCGUUACAGAACUACGCAAUAGCAUAACCACGGUCCUCCAGCUCUGUCCUGCGCGUUCUGUUUACUUAUUCGGUGAUUUUAACUUUCCGCUCAUAAAUUGGUGUAGUCUAUCAUCAUCUUGUCGAACAUCUGUGGAUUUUCUUAACUUAACUUUAGAUCUUAACUUGUUCCAGGUCGUUAACAAACCAACCCGUGGUACUAACAUUCUAGACCUUAUACUCACCAACACUCCCGAAACGAUUGAAUCCGUAGUUCAUCUAAACGGCUUUAGCGAUCACGAUCUACUUCAGGUAACAAUCAGUGUUCCACUACCCUUUUCAGGGAUCUCAAAGAAAAUAAUACGUGAUUAUAACAAGGCAAACUACUCUAAAAUAAACGAUGAACUUGAAGUAUUUUUCAACCGCACGCUACUUCCUUCCUUUUAUAAUCGCUCGGUGGAAGAUAACUGGGUAUGUUUCAAGAAUAAAAUGUCUGCUCUAAUUAACAAACAUAUCCCAUUGAUCUCGAUAACAAAUGACAAAACAAAUCCUUGGUUUACUAAUGCCCUACGUAAGCUCAGGAAUAAAAAGAAACGUCUGUACAAUACCGCUAAACGCGUCAAUAAUGCUCCUUCGUGGGAAAGGUACAGCCUUUGCUUAAAAACGUACUGUUCUGCCUUAGCUGCAGCUAAAAAUAAAUAUUUCGCCACAGAUUUACCUUCUCUCUUAAAUUCGAAUCCGAAAAAGUUUUGGCGAGUUAUAUCACCUGACCGUGACUCUAACCGGAUAGCCUUGCACAGCGAUACAAAUACUCCCCUCCCUGACAGUGAGUGCCCCUCUGCGUUUAAUACGUUUUUUUCAUCGAUUUUCAGCCGCGAGGAUCAUACCAAUGUACCUGAUGUUGCUGAUUAUGACUGGCAAUUCAUGGAAAGUAUUGAAAUCUCGGUGGAGGGAAUUGCACUUCUUAUUAAUAAUUUGAAGUUCUCUACUUCAUCUGGUAUUGACAAUAUUAGUUCAAAGAUAUUAAAAAAUACCAUUUCUAUAUCCAGUAACAUUCUGUACCAUAUAUUCAAGCAGUCUCUGUCAUCGGGACAACUGCCCAAUGACUGGAAAAUGGCCAAAAUCAUACCCAUAUUUAAAACUGGGAAUAAACACUCUCCGGAAAAUUACCGUCCAAUUUCAUUGACCUGCAUUUGCUGCAAGAUGCUCGAACAUAUAAUUGCUUCUCAUAUUUACAAUCACCUAGAGUCCAAUAAUUUCUUUUUUCGCCAUCAACAUGGUUUCAGGAAAGGAUUAUCAUGUGAGACACAGUUACUCGAAUUCACGACUGACCUGCAUCUUAACAUGAACAAUAACCAGCAGACCGAUUGCAUUUUCCUUGACUUUUCUAAAGCAUUUGAUCGUGUAGCUCAUUGUCGUCUUAUUGCUAAAUUAACUGCACUUCGAAUCGACUCCUUCACUCUAACAUGGCUUCGUAAUUUUCUUUCGAAUCGUCAACAGUUCACGGUUGUUAAUAAUAUUGCUUCGUCUCCUACUUACGUUACUUCUGGUGUGCCUCAGGGCAGCGUUUUGGGCCCUUUACUCUUUCUAAUUUACAUUAAUGAUUUGCCACUUAAUGUUUCUUCUCGCUUACGUAUUUUCGCUGACGACUGCAUUAUUUACAGAUCAAUUAACAGUACUGACGACCACCUAGCCCUUCAAAAUGACCUUAGCCUAAUUCAUAAUUGGUGUAACACCUGGUUAAUGGCUUUAAAUGUAUCAAAAUGUCAGGUUAUUUCUUUUAGUCGUAAGCGUGACAACUCACAUUUCUUAUACAACGUCAAUAAUAAAGAAUUGUUACAUACAGUAUCGUAUAAGUAUUUGGGUGUUCACCUAACCGAAAACCUCUCCUGGGCAGACCAUAUUACAACCGUUUGCGCAAAAGCUUCAAGGACACUAGGUUACCUACGUCGUAAUCUGCGUAAUUCACCUUCUAACAUCCGCAAAUUGGCCUAUCAGACAUUUGUUCGUCCACAGCUCGAGUAUGCAUCCUCCAUUUGGUCCCCACAUCCUACAUACUUAAUCGACAUGCUUGAAUCAGUCCAGAACCGAGCUGCCCGUUUCAUUUCACGUAAUUAUAGCCAUCACUCCAGCGUAACGCAAAUGAAACUCGAUCAUUCCAUACAGCCUUUAGUUUUUCACCGUAAUAUCGCUCUGUUAUCCUUGUUUCACAAAUAUGUUUAUAAUGCCACACAAUCCACACUACAUAUCCAGACCGCCUCGAACACGUCUCGUCGAUUAAAUAACCACUUAAGCUUUGCGCGCAUGUACGGUACGACACAUGCUUUUAACUUUUCCGCACUCCCUACGGCCAUUCGCUUGUGGAACAAUCUACCUGAGCACAUUGCUUCCGAGUCCGAUCAAGAAAAAUUUCGUCAUCUCCUACACGAGCACUUUUCAAAAUAGCACUUAUAAAUCACUUUAUCUUUUUUCGUACACUUUGCAAUCUGCUUCGAACUUCCUGUGAUAUUUUUUUUUUUGAUGCAUUGCUAUCUCGCUCCUGUGAAUUGCUAUUUUAUGCUGCGUCGUGUGUUCACUUGUAUUGCCUUGUAUAUAUUAUUGCUUUUUUGCGUCUUUUUCCCUGAUUAUAACUUCAAGAAUUGUACUCCCUGAUAUGUUCAUCUUUUGUGUAUUUUACUUUCUAGUAUUAAUGCCUUACGUUACGUUUUACUCAUGUUGU
This is a non-coding RNA of Dermacentor albipictus, 4615 nucleotides long. NCBI's taxonomy places the organism in Eukaryota, Metazoa, Arthropoda, Arachnida, Ixodida, Ixodidae. The record is from RefSeq and is a predicted model, not a curated record.